AAAAUCCGUUGGCUUUAUUGACCGUGAGGGUUCAAGUCCCUCUCCCCCCA
Molecule: transfer RNA, 50 nt
Filed under: Pseudokindbergia dumosa
Lineage: Eukaryota; Viridiplantae; Streptophyta; Bryopsida; Hypnales; Brachytheciaceae
Description: partial tRNA-Leu
Source: RNAcentral